GAGGUAUUUGAAAUUUUAGUUUUUAUUUUUAUUUUUCUCUUUUAUGGGUUUGGUAUGUUUUCGUUUUCUUUUUUGGUUUUAAUAUGCAUAUGAGCUUGUUGAUGUUGGAGCUUGAUCUUGUAAUUAAGCAUCAUGUUUACACAUGGUAUGGAAUCUUUGAUUUUGGGUUAUCUUCAUUUUUGUCUCUUUGCUAGUGAUUUUGGGUUGGGUUUGAAUAAACCUAUUAGGCAAGUUCAGUUAGCAAUUUCCUGCUUCUCAUGGUAAAUAUUUCACAUGGGUACUCUUGAACCAAAAAAAAUAUUAAAAAUGCAUUUCACAUGCUAGAAGCAAUUGACUUCUGAAGCAAACAGCUUUUUUCACUAUAUAUAUAUAUAUAUAUAUAUAACUUUCAAGACUAUAACUACUGCUUUUGCCUUUACUAAGUUUCAGCAUUCAGUAAGUAAGUUGGAUGGAUGGUAUAGAAUUGAAGAAUGAAAAUAGGGAUUUUGAAGGUGAUUGUAGGAACUUACUGGAUGGCAGAGAUGAUUUAUUUAUUUACAACUAGUACUAAUGGUGAAAAUGUUGGCAAGGCGAUGUGCCUUUGCAAGGUUACUUUCUUUUUCUAUAGUUUUGUUGUAUAUAUUGAAUGAAAUUUGUGCCUUCCUGUGAAGGGCG
This 654-nucleotide long non-coding RNA is filed under the name Manihot esculenta (cassava). RNAcentral describes it as "long non-coding RNA (MESC_LNC000919)". The record is from RNAcentral. Lineage: Eukaryota; Viridiplantae; Streptophyta; Magnoliopsida; Malpighiales; Euphorbiaceae.